UACGUAGGCAGCGAGCGUUGUUCGGAGUUACUGGGCGUAAAGCGUGCGUAGGCGGUUGUCUAAGUCUGGUGUGAAAUCUCCCGGCUCAACUGGGAGGGUGCGCCGGAAACUGGAUGACUGGAGUGCCGGAGAGGUAAGCGGAAUUCCUGGUGUAGCGGUGAAAUGCGUAGAGAUCAGGAGGAACACCUGUGGUGUAGACAGCUUACUGGACGGUGACUGACGCUGAGGCACGAAAGCGUGGGUAGCAAACGGG
This 253-nucleotide ribosomal RNA is filed under the name uncultured bacterium. Its description in RNAcentral is "partial 16S ribosomal RNA". It matches the Rfam family "Bacterial small subunit ribosomal RNA", at positions 524 to 776 of the family's 1533-position model. The record is from RNAcentral.